AGCAGCCGCGGUAAUUCCAGCUCCAAUAGCGUAUAUUAAAGUUGUUGCAGUUAAAAAGCUCGUAGUUGAAUUUCGGGGUUAGUAGGUUGGUCAUGCCUCUGGUAUGUACUGGUCUCACUGAUUCCUCCUUCCUGAUGAGCCGUAAUGCCAUUAAUUUGGUGUUGCGGGGAAUUUGGACUGUUACUUUGAAAAAUUGAGUGUUUAAAGCAAGCUAACGCUUGAAUACAUUAGCAUGGAAUAAUGAAAUAGGACGUUCGAUCCUAUUUUGUUGGUUUCUAGGAUUGACGUAAUGAUUAAUAGGGAUAGUUGGGGGCAUUAGUAUUCAAUUGUCAGAGGUGAAAUUCUUGGAUUUAUUGAAGACUAACUACUGCGAAAGCAUUUGCCAAGGAUGUUUUCAUUAAUCAAGAACGAAAGUUAGGGGAUCGAAGACGAUCAGAUACCGUCGUAGUCUUAACCAUAAACUAUGCCGACUAGGGAUCGGGUGAUGUUAAUUUUUUAAUGACUCAUUCGGCGCCUUAAC
This 520-nucleotide unclassified non-coding RNA is filed under the name uncultured Glomus. Its description in RNAcentral is "SSU rRNA". It matches the Rfam family "Eukaryotic small subunit ribosomal RNA", at positions 569 to 1092 of the family's 1831-position model. Lineage: Eukaryota; Fungi; Glomeromycota; Glomeromycetes; Glomerales; Glomeraceae. The record is from RNAcentral.